RNAcentral lists this ribosomal RNA (497 nucleotides) under uncultured bacterium. Its description in RNAcentral is "partial 16S ribosomal RNA". It matches the Rfam family "Bacterial small subunit ribosomal RNA", at positions 28 to 507 of the family's 1533-position model. The record is from RNAcentral.
GAUGAACGCUGGCGGCGUGCCUAAUACAUGCAAGUCGAGCGAACAGACGAGGAGCUUGCUCCUCUGACGUUAGCGGCGGACGGGUGAGUAACACGUGGAUAACCUACCUAUAAGACUGGGAUAACUUCGGGAAACCGGAGCUAAUACCGUAUAACAUGUUGAACCGCAUGGUUCAACAGUGAAAGACGGUCUUGCUGUCACUUAUAGAUGGAUCCGCGCCGCAUUAGCUAGUUGGUAAGGUAACGGCUUACCAAGGCAACGAUGCGUAGCCGACCUGAGAGGGUGAUCGGCCACACUGGAACUGAGACACGGUCCAGACUCCUACGGGAGGCAGCAGUAGGGAAUCUUCCGCAAUGGGCGAAAGCCUGACGGAGCAACGCCGCGGGAGUGAAGAAGGUCUUCGGAUCGUAAAACUCUGUUAUUAGGGAAGAACAAAUGUGUAAGUAACUAUGCACGUCUUGACGGUACCUAAUCAGAAAGCCACGGCUAACUACGUG